GAUCAGCCAUGCCGCGUGUGUGAAGAAGGUCUUCGGAUUGUAAAGCACUUUAAGUUGGGAGGAAGGGUUGUAGAUUAAUACUCUGCAAUUUUGACGUUACCGACAGAAUAAGCACCGGCUAACUCUGUGCCUGCAGCCGCGGUAAUACAGAGGGUGCAAGCGUUAAUCGGAAUUACUGGGCGUAAAGC
RNAcentral lists this ribosomal RNA (188 nucleotides) under uncultured Pseudomonas sp. RNAcentral's name for it is "partial 16S ribosomal RNA". It matches the Rfam family "Bacterial small subunit ribosomal RNA", at positions 385 to 566 of the family's 1533-position model. The record is from RNAcentral. Lineage: Bacteria; Pseudomonadati; Pseudomonadota; Gammaproteobacteria; Pseudomonadales; Pseudomonadaceae.